Molecule: transfer RNA, 70 nt
Filed under: Marmota monax (woodchuck)
Lineage: Eukaryota; Metazoa; Chordata; Mammalia; Rodentia; Sciuridae
Description: tRNA.Thr
Source: RNAcentral
GAUAUAGCUUCAUUGGUAGAAUGCUUGCCUGGUAUGCAUGAGGCCCUGUGUUCAAUCCACAGUUAAAACA